GUCCCUAUAGUUUAGAGGAUAGAGCGACACUCUCCUAAAGUGUAGACGCAGGUUCGAUUCCUGCUGGGGACAC
RNAcentral lists this transfer RNA (73 nucleotides) under Streptomyces phage LilMartin. RNAcentral describes it as "tRNA-Arg". It matches the Rfam family "tRNA". From Rfam's summary of the family: Transfer RNA (tRNA) molecules are approximately 80 nucleotides in length. Lineage: Duplodnaviria; Heunggongvirae; Uroviricota; Caudoviricetes; Stanwilliamsviridae. RNAcentral also lists the same sequence under 2 other names. The record is from RNAcentral.